GUUAAGGGCCUUUAGGACGACAUCACGACUUGGAUACAGAAGAAUAAGGAAGAUGCUGAAAUCACGACACUGGAAAGUGGCUCCCAAGUUGAAGGAAUAUGAGCGAUCUUACACAAAUGGUGGAAUGGAGUCCUUUUACCUCAGUAGGAAAAGUGUACGUGCACGCAAGAGAUGCCAACUUGAAGUUCCUUCCAAGAGACGGAAAUUGAGCAACCAUGGCUUUGCUGUUGCAUAUUACCAGGAGGCCAGUAGCGAAAGCGUUACAAAUUCACCUGACAAGGAAAUCAAACGAGACAUUAGUACCUCGCAUGCCAUCCCGCCGAGAGGAACUGCUGAUCCAGCUUCAGUUAACAAUCAUCACAAGAAGGACCCUAAUGUUAAAUUUAGCAUCAAGUCUUUCAAGGUGCCAGAGCUUUACAUAGAGGUUCCUGAAACUGCAACAGUUGGCUCUCUGAAGAGAACGGUUAUGGAGGCAGUUACAGCUAUAUUGGAAAGUGGAUUACGGGUUGGGGUGGUUCUCCAGGGAAAGAAGGUCAGAGAUGACAAUAGAACUCUGGAGCAGGCUGGCAUUUCCCAGAAUGGCAACCUCGAUAAUUUGGGUUUCACUUUGGAGCCUAGAUUCACCCAAGUUUCUCCAUCAUCAUCUCCUAAUAAACUUCCGGCUUCAUCAACAUAUGUUGCAGAUCAGGAACUAACAAGGCGGCGACCUAGUCCUAUAAUGGAAUUUGGGAUUCACAAUGCUUCAGCAGACCCUCUAGAGACUGAUAUGUGCAAGUACAGCGAGAAUAACCAUCCAUCAGAGCUAUCGCCUACAAAUCCUAUUGAUUCAUCAACCGAUGUAUCUAUUCCAGAUUCUAGAGCCUUGGUGAUAGUCCCUUCAGUUAAUGCAGAGGCACUUGCUAUGGUUCCGCUGAACCAUAAAAGUAAACGUUCUGAACUUUCACAACGUAGAAUACGGAGACCAUUCUCAGUUGCA
Molecule: unclassified non-coding RNA, 976 nt
Filed under: Hevea brasiliensis (rubber tree)
Lineage: Eukaryota; Viridiplantae; Streptophyta; Magnoliopsida; Malpighiales; Euphorbiaceae
Source: RNAcentral